RNAcentral lists this small RNA (270 nucleotides) under Zea mays. RNAcentral's name for it is "Early nodulin 40". It matches the Rfam family "Early nodulin 40". Lineage: Eukaryota; Viridiplantae; Streptophyta; Magnoliopsida; Poales; Poaceae. The record is from Rfam by way of RNAcentral.
AAGAAGCAUGGCAGGAGUGUCUGCAUGGGUCCUGAGAGUCGCGUGAGCAGCGAAGCAGUUCACGGAUGGUUGGAUGGAGGGCAAUGACCAGCUGCUGAGCUGCUGCUGCUCCUCCUGGUCGACCAUCAGUUUGUAUUUGUCCAUGCCUCGUGUAGCCGGCCGUCUUCUUGCCCUGGCUUGUCCAGUUCCGGAAGGCGGGCAGGCCCGGUGAGGCGUGGACAGAGACCGGCAAGUCAGAGAUCGGCAAUAGUGAGCUCCAGCAGGAGCCUA